CCUACGGGUGGCUGCAGUGAGGAAUAUUGGUCAAUGGGCGCGAGCCUGAACCAGCCAAGUCGCGUGAGGGAAGACGGUCCUAUGGAUGGUAAACGUCUUUGGUCGGGGAGCAAAAGACGCCACGCGUGGCGUUCCGAGAGUACCCGAAGAAAAAGCAUAGGCUAACCCCGCGCCAGCAGCCGCGGUAAGACGGAGGAUGCGAGCGUUACCCGGAUCUAUUGGGUUAAAAGUGUGCGCAGGCGGAAGAUCAAGUCAGCGGUAAAAUUGAGAGGCUCAACCUCUGCGAGCCGUUGAAACUGGUUUUCUUGAGUGAGUGAGAGGUAUGCGGAAUGCGUGGUGUAGCGGUGAAAUGCAUAGAUAUCACGCAGAACUCCGAUUGCGAAGGCAGCAUACCGGCGCUCAACUGACGCUCAUGCACGAAAGUGUGGGUAGCGAACAGGAUUAGAUACCCUUGUAGUC
Molecule: ribosomal RNA, 459 nt
Filed under: uncultured bacterium
Lineage: Bacteria
Description: partial 16S ribosomal RNA
Rfam family: Bacterial small subunit ribosomal RNA
Source: RNAcentral